GACGAACGCUGGCGGCGUGCUUAACACAUGCAAGUCGAGCGGUAAGGCCCUUUCGGGGGUACGACGAGCGGCGAACGGGUGAGUAACACGUGGGUGACCUGCCCUCAGCUCUGGGAUAAGCCUGGGAAACCGGGUCUAAUACCGGAUAUGACUCCAUGACGCAUGUUGUGGGGUGGAAAGCCUUGUGCGGCUGAGGAUGGGCCCGCGGCCUAUCAGCUUG
Molecule: ribosomal RNA, 220 nt
Filed under: uncultured bacterium
Lineage: Bacteria
Description: partial 16S ribosomal RNA
Rfam family: Bacterial small subunit ribosomal RNA
Source: RNAcentral